Pelobates cultripes (western spadefoot toad) is the source of this 281-nucleotide non-coding RNA. NCBI's taxonomy places the organism in Eukaryota, Metazoa, Chordata, Amphibia, Anura, Pelobatidae. The record is from the annotation of a GenBank genome assembly.
CUGAUCUGUUAAAACAAGACAAUCGCCUGCAGAGCCUGGCUGAGAAUGAUCAGUAGUGGUGCUGUGUGACUGAGAGCUGUGCCCUGCAAUAUAUUAAUGACUAUUUUAUUAACUAAACAUACAUGUGAAAAAACAAAACAUAAGAUAUCACCAACAUAAAAUAAACAAAGUAUGAACAUUUCAUUUUUUUGGUGGUAGCGUCCCUUUAGGCAUCAAACUUCUAGCACAAACUGCAUGCAUUGUCCCCAAAAUAUUAUAGAAUAUCUUAAUAUUUAGAUCUG